This 73-nucleotide transfer RNA is filed under the name Bos taurus (domestic cattle). It matches the Rfam family "tRNA". Rfam says of the family: Transfer RNA (tRNA) molecules are approximately 80 nucleotides in length. Their secondary structure includes four short double-helical elements and three loops (D, anti-codon, and T loops). Further hydrogen bonds mediate the characteristic L-shaped molecular structure. tRNAs have two regions of fundamental functional importance: the anti-codon, which is responsible for specific mRNA codon recognition, and the 3' end, to which the tRNAs corresponding amino acid is attached (by aminoacyl-tRNA synthetases). tRNAs cope with the degeneracy of the genetic code in two manners: having more than one tRNA (with a specific anti-codon) for a particular amino acid; and 'wobble' base-pairing, i.e. permitting non-standard base-pairing at the 3rd anti-codon position. RNAcentral also lists the same sequence under 5 other names. Lineage: Eukaryota; Metazoa; Chordata; Mammalia; Artiodactyla; Bovidae. The record is from Rfam by way of RNAcentral.
UCCCUGGUGGUCCAGUGGCUAAGAUUCCACAUUCCCAAUGCAGGGGCCCUGGGUUCAAUUCCUGGUCAGGGAA